This 856-nucleotide small RNA is filed under the name Trichurus spiralis. RNAcentral describes it as "eukaryotic LSU rRNA". It matches the Rfam family "Eukaryotic large subunit ribosomal RNA", at positions 62 to 946 of the family's 3401-position model. Lineage: Eukaryota; Fungi; Ascomycota; Sordariomycetes; Microascales; Microascaceae. The record is from RNAcentral.
AGACCACAGGGAUUGCCUCAGUAACGGCGAGUGAAGCGGCAACAGCUCAAAUUUGAAAUCUGGUCCCCUCUGGGGGCCCGAGUUGUAAUUUGAAGAGGAUGCUUUUGGCGAGGCGCCUUCCGAGUGCCCUGGAACGGGACGCCACAGAGGGUGAGAGCCCCGUAUGGUAGGACGCCGAGCCUCUGUAAAGCUCCUUCGACGAGUCGAGUAGUUUGGGAAUGCUGCUCAAAAUGGGAGGUAAACCCCUUCUAAAGCUAAAUAUUGGCCAGAGACCGAUAGCGCACAAGUAGAGUGAUCGAAAGAUGAAAAGCACUUUGAAAAGAGAGUUAAACAGCACGUGAAAUUGUUGAAAGGGAAGCGCUUGCGACCAGACUUGCGCCCGUCGGAUCAACCGUCCCUCGUGGGCGGCGCACUCCGGCGGGCUCAGGCCAGCAUCAGUUUUCCUGGGGGUAGAAAGGCGGUGGGAAUGUAGCUCUUCGGAGUGUUAUAGCCCGCCGCGUAAUGCCCUCGGGGGGACUGAGGACCGCGCGUAUGCAAGGAUGCUGGCGUAAUGGUCGUCAGCGACCCGUCUUGAAACACGGACCAAGGAGUCGUCCUAAUAUGCGAGUGUACGGGUGUAAAACCCCUGCGCGUAAUGAAAGUGAACGGAGGUGAGAGCUUCGGCGCAUCAUCGACCGAUCCUGAUGUUCUCGGAUGGAUUUGAGUAAGAGCAUAUUGGGCCGGACCCGAAAGAAGGUGAACUAUGCCUGUAUAGGGUGAAGCCAGAGGAAACUCUGGUGGAGGCUCGCAGCGGUUCUGACGUGCAAAUCGAUCGUCAAAUAUGGGCAUGGGGGCGAAAGACUAAUCGAACCUUCUA